GACAGAGGGGGCAAGCGUUGUUCGGAUUUACUGGGCGUAAAGGGCGCGUAGGCGGCGUGUUAAGUCAGCUGUGAAAUCUCCGAGCUUAACUCGGAACGGUCAGCUGAUACUGAUGUGCUAGAGUGCAGAAGGGGCAAUCGGAAUUCUUGGUGUAGCGGUGAAAUGCGUAGAUAUCAAGAGGAACACCUGAGGUGAAGACGGGUUGCUGGGCUGACACUGACGCUGAUGCGCGAAAGCCAGGGGAGCAAACGGG
This 253-nucleotide ribosomal RNA is filed under the name uncultured bacterium. Its description in RNAcentral is "partial 16S ribosomal RNA". It matches the Rfam family "Bacterial small subunit ribosomal RNA", at positions 524 to 776 of the family's 1533-position model. The record is from RNAcentral.